Molecule: RNA transcript, 395 nt
Organism: Mandrillus leucophaeus (drill)
Lineage: Eukaryota; Metazoa; Chordata; Mammalia; Primates; Cercopithecidae
Gene name: 40S ribosomal protein S23 pseudogene
Exons: 1
Source: RefSeq, a predicted model, not a curated record
UUUGAGUGCCGCCCCCAUUUGGGCACAGCCCUGAAAGCCAGCCCUUUUGGAGGUGCUUCUCAUGCAAAAGGAAUCGUCCUGGAAAAAGUAGGAGUUGAAGCCAAACAGCCAAAUUCUGCCAUUAGGAAGUGUGUCAGGGUCCAGCUGAUCAAGAAUGGCAAGAAAAUCACAGCCUUUGUACCCAACGACGUUUGCCUGAACUUUAUUGAGGAAAACGAUGAAGUUCUGGUUGCUGGAUUUGGUCGCAAAGGUCAUGCUGUUGGUGAUAUUCCUGGAGUCCGCUUUAAGAUUGUCAAAGUGGCCAAUGUGUCUCUUCUGGCCCUAUACAAAGGCAAGAAGGAAAGACCAAGAUAAUAAAUUUUAAUGGUGAACACACUGUAGUAAUAAAUUUUCUU